UAUUUAUUUAUUUAUUUUUUGGUCCGCUCAGAAACUUUUGGGGGGUUGGGGUGGGGUGGGUUGGGGGUGUGGAGUGAUGCUGCCAAAGAACUAUUCUCCUUGUCCAUAAGGAAGUUGUUAGUUACAGGAUUCAAUCUCAAGAGUUCAACACUCCCAAGAACUUCAGCUUAAGAUAAUGAACCAUUUGGCCAGUACGGCAAUUGAGAUGAAGUCCUUGCACAUGAAAUGGUUUUCCGCAUACUUAUGGAAGUAAUAGAACAAUAUGAUCAGACCAAAAAGUAAAAUAACUCAUGUAUAGCUGACCUGUUAUUAUUCCUCUGUCUAA
RNAcentral lists this unclassified non-coding RNA (325 nucleotides) under Hevea brasiliensis (rubber tree). Lineage: Eukaryota; Viridiplantae; Streptophyta; Magnoliopsida; Malpighiales; Euphorbiaceae. The record is from RNAcentral.